RNAcentral lists this ribosomal RNA (406 nucleotides) under uncultured bacterium. Its description in RNAcentral is "bacterial SSU rRNA". It matches the Rfam family "Bacterial small subunit ribosomal RNA", at positions 355 to 776 of the family's 1533-position model. The record is from RNAcentral.
UGGGGAAUAUUGCGCAAUGGGGGGAACCCUGACGCAGCAACGCCGCGUGAGCGAAGAAGGCCUUCGGGUCGUAAAGCUCUGUCAUAGGGGAAGAGGAGAAGACGGUACCCUAUGAGGAAGCCCCGGCUAACUACGUGCCAGCAGCCGCGGUAAUACGUAGGGGGCGAGCGUUGUCCGGAAUUACUGGGCGUAAAGGGUGCGUAGGCGGCCUGAUAAGUCAGAUGUGAAAUACCAGGGCUCAACCCUGGGGGUGCAUUUGAAACUGUCGGGCUUGAGUGCAGGAGAGGAAAGCGGAAUUCCUGGUGUAGCGGUGAAAUGCGUAGAUAUCAGGAGGAACACCAGUGGCGAAGGCGGCUUUCUGGACUGUAACUGACGCUGAGGCACGAAAGCGUGGGGAGCGAACAGG